GUGCCAGCAGCCGCGGUAAUACGUAGGGGGCAAGCGUUGUCCGGAAUCAUUGGGCGUAAAGAGCGCGUAGGCGGCCCAGUAAGUCCGCUCUGAAAGUCAGGGGCUCAACCCCUGGAUGCGGGUGGAUACUGCUGGGCUAGAGUCCGGAAGAGGCGAGUGGAAUUCCUGGUGUAGCGGUGAAAUGCGCAGAUAUCAGGAGGAACACCGAUGGCGAAGGCAGCUCGCUGGGACGGUACUGACGCUGAGGCGCGAAAGCGUGGGGAGCAAACAGGAUUAGAAACCCCCGUAGUCC
This 292-nucleotide ribosomal RNA is filed under the name uncultured bacterium. RNAcentral's name for it is "partial 16S ribosomal RNA". It matches the Rfam family "Bacterial small subunit ribosomal RNA", at positions 505 to 796 of the family's 1533-position model. The record is from RNAcentral.